Long non-coding RNA from Microtus ochrogaster (prairie vole), 270 nucleotides. RefSeq lists it as uncharacterized. Lineage: Eukaryota; Metazoa; Chordata; Mammalia; Rodentia; Cricetidae. The record is from RefSeq and is a predicted model, not a curated record. The transcript has 3 exons.
AUGGCGGCGCCCAGUGAGGUGGCGUGAAAGUUGUGGAAAGUCGGAGUGGUGGGGUGUGUGAAUCAGAAGCUUGGAGGACCUGGGAGCCAUGGCGCGACUGAUCAUGAAGAACCUCCCUAAUGGGGUGGAAACCCAACGAAAACCCGAGUCUGGAGCAAACAUGCCCAGAAGCCCAGCCAGCCCAGGCAGUCAUCACAAGCCUCCAUUCCCUCAGACACUAAAAAAGAUGACAAAAAAAGAAAAAGGUGCCCAGUGACCUGGAGAAGGUGA